AAUUUGGUAGAAUGGGGGAAACGCUGAUCCAGCUAGCCCGCGUGUAUGAAGAAGGUCUUCGGGGUGUAAUGCACUUUUGGCAGAGAAGAAUAGGUAUUUCCUAAUACGAGAUACUGCUGACGUUAUCUGCAGAAUAAGCACUGGCUAGUUACGUGCAAGCAUCUGCGGUAAUACGUUGGGUGCAAGCGUUAAUCGGAAUUACUGGGCGUAAGGGUAGUGUAGGCGGUUCGGAAAGAAAGAUGUGAAAUCCCGGGCCUCAACCUUGAAACUGCAUUUUAAACUGCCGUGCUUGGGUAUACCGGAGGGAGAUAGAUUUCCACUUGUAGCAGUCAAAUGCGUAGAUAUGGGGAGAAGUACCGAUGGCAAAGGCAGACCCCGGGGAUAAUGCUGACGCUCAGACACGAAAGCGUGGGGAGCAAACGG
Molecule: ribosomal RNA, 423 nt
Filed under: uncultured bacterium
Lineage: Bacteria
Description: partial 16S ribosomal RNA
Rfam family: Bacterial small subunit ribosomal RNA
Source: RNAcentral